CUGAUAUUCUCUCCGUUGACAGCGGAGGGAUCAUUACCGAGUUUUCAACUCCCAAACCCCUGUGAACAUACCACUUGUUGCCUCGGCGGAUCAGCCCGCUCCCGGUAAAACGGGACGGCCCGCCAGAGGACCCCUAAACUCUGUUUCUAUAUGUAACUUCUGAGUAAAACCAUAAAUAAAUCAAAACUUUCAACAACGGAUCUCUUGGUUCUGGCAUCGAUGAAGAACGCAGCAAAAUGCGAUAAGUAAUGUGAAUUGCAGAAUUCAGUGAAUCAUCGAAUCUUUGAACGCACAUUGCGCCCGCCAGUAUUCUGGCGGGCAUGCCUGUUCGAGCGUCAUUUCAACCCUCAAGCACAGCUUGGUGUUGGGACUCGCGUUAAUUCGCGUUCCUCAAAUUGAUUGGCGGUCACGUCGAGCUUCCAUAGCGUAGUAGUAAAACCCUCGUUACUGGUAAUCGUCGCGGCCACGCCGUUAAACCCCAACUUCUGAAUGUUGAGCCUCGGAUCAGGUAGGAAUACCCGCUGAACUAAGG
This 532-nucleotide ribosomal RNA is filed under the name Fusarium oxysporum. RNAcentral's name for it is "eukaryotic LSU rRNA". The stretch from base 185 to 338 matches the Rfam family "5.8S ribosomal RNA". The record is from RNAcentral. Lineage: Eukaryota; Fungi; Ascomycota; Sordariomycetes; Hypocreales; Nectriaceae.